Molecule: long non-coding RNA, 533 nt
Organism: Cercocebus atys (sooty mangabey)
Lineage: Eukaryota; Metazoa; Chordata; Mammalia; Primates; Cercopithecidae
Exons: 2
Source: RefSeq, a predicted model, not a curated record
GGCUGCGCUCGCCUUUUCCGGUGGAAGUGACGCCAUCUGCAGCUGCGGCAGGAGAGCGGAAAUGUCAAAAGUGGAGAGCCUAAAGAUAGUAGUGAGCAGCUUGAGUCUUAAGUGUUUGAAUACAACAAUGGAAGGUGACAAGGAUUCUUUGCUUGGCCAAACUUUAGUCAGACUCCUCAACUUUCUCGUAGGUUUUUCUGUGUAUUUCCUUGGAAAAUCCAGUUAGAACCCUCCACGCUCAAUAUCUGAUCAGGUUCCUCAUCCUCUACCAUCCUUAGGUGAUGUCUGAUCACCUUCACCUAUUUUCAGCAAGAAACCCCUUUACUCCUGAAGUUCCUUCUUAGUAAUAUUGUAUCCAGUGACCCCAAACUUUUGUUCCUUGGCUAUAAAUUCCCACUUGCCCAUGCUGUAUUUAAAGUUGAGCCCACUCUCUUUCUCCUAAUUCGGCAUCCCAUUGCCAUGGUUGCUAUACGUAUCCUGAUGGUCCUGAAUAAAAUCUGUCUUACUAUGCUUUAAUAAAUUUCUAUCAUUCA